GGACGCUCUCCACCCACAGCCUCCCGCUCUGGUUCUGACGGUCCCGCACGCCCGCCGCUGCCUCCGCCGGCGCUCCCGAUUCAUCCAUGAGCUCGGAUUUCCCACAUUACAACUUCAGGAUGCCUAAUAUUGGAUUCCAGAAUCUGCCUCUCAACAUAUAUAUUGUGGUUUUUGGCACUGCUAUAUUUGUCUUCAUCCUUAGUUUACUCUUCUGUUGCUACUUGAUUAGGCUAAGACAUCAAGCACACAAAGAAUUUUAUGCCUAUAAACAGGUUAUAUUAAAAGAGAAAGUAAAAGAACUGAAUUUACAUGAACUCUGUGCAGUGUGUCUAGAAGACUUCAAGCCUCGAGAUGAGUUGGGGAUUUGUCCGUGUAAGCAUGCCUUCCACAGAAAGUGCCUUAUUAAGUGGCUGGAGGUUCGGAAAGUGUGUCCACUGUGCAACAUGCCAGUUCUGCAGCUGGCCCAGCUGCACAGUAAGCAGGACCGUGGACCCCCACAGGGGCCCCUGCCAGGGGCAGAGAACAUUGUAUAGCUCACCACAGGAUCAAACUGUUGCAGGACCCACGCUCACAGAGGCAGGCGGAACACACAUGCAGGCACCAGCUGCCACUUCCUUUGCCUCAUGAAAAACUCCUGGGCCGGCUAAGCUAAGACCCAGACUUCUGGGUCAUGUGACAACCAAAGCUGACAGUACCCAUGUCCCACGCCAAGAGAAGAGAAGUUAAAUGAGCCUGCAGGUUUGGUUCAAGGAGCUUCAUGAGAGUCUCUUGCCAACUCAAUUACAUGCUGUCGUCCAGACACUUCUCUCCAUGUCAGGCGAGCACCCAUUUUUGAGGCAGGAGUUCAAGCAGCAGCAGCAACUGAAGGCUGAGGCACCUUUCUAUCUCGUGAGGCAGUUGUCUCAGAUGUUGCUAAACAAGUAGGUGGUCAAUCAUAGAUGUUCGGGUACAUGGGUCAGGCUCCUUCCCCUUCCCACUCUAAAACAUGCUUCCCCUAGUUUUUUCCUAGCCCAACACUUUUCACUCAAUGACAUUCCCCACCUUUUAAGAAAUAUUUUAAGUUCAUUUUUGCCCCUAGAGAAUAUGGAAAUUAAAGCUUCCUUUAGGUAGCCAUGGGGCCAUGGACUGGUGCCUCUUGGUCCUCACCCACCUCCCAGUGUCCUGCCACCCAGUUUCCCCAGAUUCAGUGCUUUUGCGCCCCUGACCUGAAACUUGAAAAGGAAUUGCAGGGAACCUCCACCCUUCUGUCAUGUGAUGAAUCUCUUUAGUCUUUCACGUUAGCUGUUAAGAACUUGAGUAAAGGACAUGUCUAAAUUAACAGUGUAUAAAUUUAGGUGAAAUUUGCAGUUGAUAACUAGAAUAUGCUGGGUCAUGGUUCUUUAGUAGAUAAGAUUAAUGUGCUUCCAUUUGAGAGUAUCAAGAGGAACAUAGAAAGGCUUGGUCAGUUUUCCAGUUGUUUUGGAGCCCACUUGUUCCAAGAUGCUAAUUGUUUUCUCCGUUUUAGAUCAAACAUCAGCAUUCUUUGCUUACCAAUCCAGGGCUCACUUCUGUGGCUACAGGGACAAGGAGAACACCCUGCCUGCUCUAGGGGCAUGUACUCAGAAAGGGAGCCUGCCAAUGUUAAGGGACUUGUCUGUACUUUGAUGUAGCUCCUAUGCCAGUACAAGCCUGGUGGUCAGCACCGUGGGCCAGCUGCACACCGUCCCUGUCUGCUCCUUCCCUCCCAGGUUCCGAGAGAAAAAGGAGGCAGAUGGGACCAGUGUUGAAGUCCCUCCUGCUGACACCGUCUUCCAAGAUAGUGUUCCUGAUCAUUGUCGUCUCUGGUAACAGAUCACUGCCAGGAAGGAAGGUAGUUUAGCCAUGUAGUCUAGCCCAUUGGGGUUCAUUCACUAGACAUUAUGUAACUCCCUCAAUAAAAGGUUUAUGAAA
Myotis lucifugus (little brown bat) is the source of this 1929-nucleotide RNA transcript. It is a transcript of the gene named ring finger protein 24, with no coding region annotated. The transcript has 7 exons. Lineage: Eukaryota; Metazoa; Chordata; Mammalia; Chiroptera; Vespertilionidae. The record is from RefSeq and is a predicted model, not a curated record.